GCCACCACUGCUCGUGGGAGGCAAAGGUUGGAGUGGUUCCUGUAAGAAAUUGAGAGAACUAAAGAGAUAAACUGGGAAUAGAUAGAUUGAGAGGGAAGAACGGCAAAACAGCACCACUGAUGCCCCCUAUUUUCCAAAUCUUUUGUUGCUAUUCCACUCUCCAUUGAUGUGGUACACAGAUUUGAUCACAAACCUGGGGAGCUCCUAGCUAGCCUCCGGUCAGCUGGAUGCAUAUUUCUAUGGUGCUGAAGAUGGUGUUGGCUGCAAGGACGCCGACGAGGCCGCCUCCUCGGUCUGUUUGGCGCAAAUAUCUUGGUCGCAGGCCGUUCGUCCGCUGUUGAUCGUUUGGUAUGUGCUUGCUGACCCUUUGAUUUUUCAUCCAGAUUGGUUCAUGGAAAGGUGAGUUUUUUUUCUGUAUUGCUCAUAAAAAAGGUUGCUGGUGUUGUAUCCAGCAAAUAAAUACUACCAAUUACAAAUUGAGUAGAUGCAAGCUGAUUGUGUCAUCGUUAUAUGCUGGUCCGUACUUGCUAGAGACGAGACAAAUUCUAGCUGAUAUUUGCUAGACGAUAGCUACCUGCUGCUGCUGGAUAUACAUAACUGAUUUUUUUUAGAGGAUUGCUUAUACUGAAUUUUGUUACACCAUUGCUUGCCCUAAAUUUUUUUAGACGAUUCCUUGACCCGCUCUUUUGUAAACAGGAAUGACAACCUAACUAAUCAUGUUUAAUGGUGAAGAAAAGAAGAAAAGAGAAAGGAAAUGUUGCGAUUUGGCUAUGACAUAGCUUCUCCUACUGAUUGCUUUCAUCAACGGAUUUGGGGUAUGAUUUUACGUGCUAUACAAAAAGAAAAGUUAAAGGAUGGUGGCACAAAACGGGAAGCAGGUGAUGUGAUUACUUGAGGUGGAGAUGCAUUAUGUAUAAUAUUGUAGUGAACACGUGGAGGAUCUUAACAAGCUAACAUAAGCUUCAUUCUUUCUCUUUGCCUCUUUUCUUUCUCAUUACUGGAAUCAGUACAAAAUUAUAAAACGUUUUGUAUGAUGGAGCUGCUGAAAACAAUGAUAAUGAACUUGCUGGUUGGCCUGGGUUUUCAUAUGAUAAAUAUUAGUACUUGUCAAAUUAUGCAUUCAGUUUUCGUAUCUUGGCAUAUUCCGUUCAACCACCAUAUUAGCAGAGCUAUUGUGCGUCAAAUGGUACUUGAUUCUGUCAUAUCUCUCGUUCACCAUUGGACUGUCUAAAAUCUGGACGCUUUUUCUUUAGGUGGUACAUUCACUAGAUGGGCAUCGGACUGGUCAUAAGCUAAUUAUGGCUUCUUGAUGCUCAUUUAAUUGAUUGUUGUGUACGGAAAUUACAUGUUAAUAUACUCAUGUAUAUACUUUGUUAACGCUACAAAGUUAGCAGAUAACUUGGGGCUUGUAUCUGUGUCAAAUGAGACUGUCUUAUUUGGCACAAUAGGAUACUGUCUUCCCUAAAUGUGUUGCUGGACAUAGCAUGAAGAAUCAAUUCAACUUAUUUUCUUCUAAUUUGCAAGAUUGAAAGAAAGAUUAUGGAUAUUUGACAAUGUGAGAGAUAUCCAAGCCAGAGGCACUUGCGAGCCUGCAACAGCAAAAAGGAGCAUGGAGUGAUCGGUGGCGCCCCAGACAAAGUGCAGGACUCCUAAUGCUUCAAAAACAUUUAGCGGCAAGCUCUAGCGCUGAUGAUGGUUGGUGCUAGGCGCGGGGUGGUAGAGGCCAAGUUGGAGCAAGAAAAGGGGAGCUAUAGCUCCGCAUGCUCAGCAGGAAGGCUGAGGAGGGGCUGGGGAAGCCGAAGAGGGCGUAACGAAGACAACACGGUCAUUGGUGGUGGCGGCUGGAUUGAGGCAUGGUGGUGGAGGUGCUUGAGGGUGGGAGCCUCCUUGGGAAGGAGAUGGAGGCUUGUGAGCAUAUCGGAGCGGAUGGGGUAAUGGUAAUGCAUCAGGUUAGGGACGGGAUGGAGGAGGAUAUCUCGACUCGGUGGCGGUGCACUAGAGGGGAAGAAAACCACCAAGGCGCGAUUCAGAGCAACCCGUCGCAGUU
This is a long non-coding RNA of Lolium rigidum, 2047 nucleotides long. RefSeq lists it as uncharacterized. The record is from RefSeq and is a predicted model, not a curated record. NCBI's taxonomy places the organism in Eukaryota, Viridiplantae, Streptophyta, Magnoliopsida, Poales, Poaceae. The transcript is spliced from 3 exons.